GGUCGUGCUCUACCAACUGAGCUAUUCCCGCAGUAUCAAGCAACUUUGUUAAUCACUUGAUUUUGUUAUCGUCUGGCAAUCAGUGCUGCCGUUCGAUGCGUUGCAUUCUACUUACCUGACGCACUGAGUCAACGAUAUUUUUCGUCACUCACGAUCGUUUGCUGAAAUUUGCGGCGAAACGAUCACUGAUCAAGCAAAUCUCCACGUGCAGCGCUCAAAUAUUGCAACAUGGACCACAAUGUUAGCACCGCUGCGACAAAGAAAAGCGCGAUCCCGGCAUACUCUACCCAGAUAUUCGGACGCCACAAGAGCCACGCCAGCGC
RNAcentral lists this unclassified non-coding RNA (323 nucleotides) under uncultured fungus. Its description in RNAcentral is "partial internal transcribed spacer 1". Lineage: Eukaryota; Fungi. The record is from RNAcentral.